This 813-nucleotide ribosomal RNA is filed under the name uncultured bacterium. RNAcentral describes it as "bacterial SSU rRNA". It matches the Rfam family "Bacterial small subunit ribosomal RNA", at positions 59 to 882 of the family's 1533-position model. The record is from RNAcentral.
CAGUCGAACGGGCUUAUACUGAAACCUAGUGAUUUAUGAGUUAGUGGCGGACGGGUGAGUAACGCGUGGAUAACCUGCCGUAUACCGGGGGAUAACACUUAGAAAUAGGUGCUAAUACCGCAUAAGCGCACGGCUCCGCAUGGGGCAGUGUGAAAAACUCCGGUGGUAUACGAUGGAUCCGCGUCUGAUUAGCUAGUUGGCGGGGUAACGGCUCACCAAGGCAGCGAUCAGUAGCCGGCCUGAGAGGGUGGACGGCCACAUUGGGACUGAGACACGGCCCAAACUCCUACGGGAGGCAGCAGUGGGGAAUAUUGCACAAUGGGGGAAACCCUGAUGCAGCGACGCCGCGUGAGUGAAGAAGUAUCUCGGUACGUAAAGCUCUAUCAGCAGGGAAGAUAAUGACGGUACCUGACCAAGAAGCCCCGGCUAACUACGUGCCAGCAGCCGCGGUAAUACGUAGGGGGCAAGCGUUAUCCGGAUUUACUGGGUGUAAAGGGAGCGUAGACGGCAGCACAAGUCUGGAGUGAAAUCCCGGGGCUUAACCCCGGAACUGCUUUGGAAACUGUGCGGCUGGAGUGCAGGAGGGGUAAGCGGAAUUCCUAGUGUAGCGGUGAAAUGCGUAGAUAUUAGGAGGAACACCGGUGGCGAAGGCGGCUUACUGGACUGUAACUGACGUUGAGGCUCGAAAGCGUGGGGAGCAAACAGGAUUAGAUACCCUGGUAGUCCACGCCGUAAACGAUGAUUACUAGGUGUCGGGGGACCAAGGUCCUCCGGUGCCGGCGCAAACGCAUUAAGUAAUCCACCUGGGGAGUA